This 423-nucleotide ribosomal RNA is filed under the name uncultured bacterium. RNAcentral's name for it is "bacterial SSU rRNA". It matches the Rfam family "Bacterial small subunit ribosomal RNA", at positions 28 to 457 of the family's 1533-position model. The record is from RNAcentral.
GACGAACGCUGGCGGCGUGCUUAACACAUGCAAGUCGAGCGGAAAGGCCCUUUCGGGGGUACUCGAGCGGCGAACGGGUGAGUAACACGUGAGUAAUCUGCCCUUGGCUUUGGGAUAACUACCGGAAACGGUGGCUAAUACCGGAUAUGACCAUGCUCGGCAUCGGGUGUGGUGGAAAGUUUUUUCGGCCAGGGAUGUGCUCGCGGCCUAUCAGCUUGUUGGUGGGGUAAUGGCCUACCAAGGCUUCGACGGGUAGCCGGCCUGAGAGGGUGACCGGCCACACUGGGACUGAGACACGGCCCAGACUCCUACGGGAGGCAGCAGUGGGGAAUAUUGGACAAUGGGCGGAAGCCUGAUCCAGCAACGCCGCGUGAGGGAUGACGGCCUCGGUGUAACGUCUUCUAGUACCGACGAAGCGCCGAC